AUGAACGCUGGCGGCGUGCCUAAUACAUGCAAGUCGAGCGAACGGACGAGAAGCUUGCUUCUCUGAUGUUAGCGGCGGACGGGUGAGUAACACGUGGAUAACCUACCUAUAAGACUGGGAUAACUUCGGGAAACCGGAGCUAAUACCGGAUAAUAUUUUGAACCGCAUGGUUCAAAAGUGAAAGACGGUCUUGCUGUCACUUAUAGAUGGAUCCGCGCUGCAUUAGCUAGUUGGUAAGGUAACGGCUUACCAAGGCAACGAUGCAUAGCCGACCUGAGAGGGUGAUCGGCCACACUGGAACUGAGACACGGUCCAGACUCCUACGGGAGGCAGCAGUAGGGAAUCUUCCGCAAUGGGCGAAAGCCUGACGGAGCAACGCCGCGUGAGUGAUGAAGGUCUUCGGAUCGUAAAACUCUGUUAUUAGGGAAGAACAUAUGUGUAAGUAACUGUACACAUCUUGACGGUACCUAAUCAGAAAGCCACGGCUAACUACGUG
RNAcentral lists this ribosomal RNA (496 nucleotides) under uncultured bacterium. RNAcentral's name for it is "partial 16S ribosomal RNA". It matches the Rfam family "Bacterial small subunit ribosomal RNA", at positions 29 to 507 of the family's 1533-position model. The record is from RNAcentral.